RNAcentral lists this ribosomal RNA (468 nucleotides) under uncultured bacterium. Its description in RNAcentral is "partial 16S ribosomal RNA". It matches the Rfam family "Bacterial small subunit ribosomal RNA", at positions 28 to 507 of the family's 1533-position model. The record is from RNAcentral.
GACGAACGCUGGCGGCGUGCUUAACACAUGCAAGUCGAACGGAAAGGCCCUGCUUUUGUGGGGUGCUCGAGUGGCGAACGGGUGAGUAACACGUGAGUAACCUGCCCUUGACUUUGGGAUAACUUCAGGAAACUGGGGCUAAUACCGGAUAGGAGCUCCUGCUGCAUGGUGGGGGUUGGAAAGUUUCGGCGGUUGGGGAUGGACUCGCGGCUUAUCAGCUUGUUGGUGGGGUAGUGGCUUACCAAGGCUUUGACGGGUAGCCGGCCUGAGAGGGUGGCCGGCGACGUUGGGACUGAGAUGCGGCCCAGACUCCUACGGGAGGCAGCAGUGGGGAAUAUUGCACAAUGGGCGGAAGCCUGAUGCAGCAGCGCCGCGUGCGGGAUGACGGCCUUCGGGUUGUAAACCGCUUUCGCCUGUGACGAAGCGUGAGUGACGGUAAUGGGUAAAGAAUCACCGGCUAACUACGUG